UUUCCGUAGGUGAACCUGCGGAAGGAUCAUUAAUGAGUUGUCAUGGGGUUCGAUGCUGGCAGCCAAUUUUUGGAUGCAUGUGCUUGCCCUAACAAUCAUCUUCCAAACACCUGUGCACAUUUUUGAGGGAGUCUUGAGUUGGUUGCCGCUCUUGGGUGAUUUUCUCACAUUCCCUUAAAUCAUUAUACGCUAUUAACAAUGUUGAACGUGCUCUGAGCCGCAAGGCUAUUAAUAUAAUACAACUUUUAACAACGGAUCUCUUGGCUCUC
RNAcentral lists this unclassified non-coding RNA (269 nucleotides) under plant metagenome. Its description in RNAcentral is "partial contains small subunit ribosomal RNA, internal transcribed spacer 1, and 5.8S ribosomal RNA". The record is from RNAcentral.